RNAcentral lists this ribosomal RNA (253 nucleotides) under uncultured bacterium. Its description in RNAcentral is "partial 16S ribosomal RNA". It matches the Rfam family "Bacterial small subunit ribosomal RNA", at positions 524 to 776 of the family's 1533-position model. The record is from RNAcentral.
UACAGAGGGUGCAAGCGUUAAUCGGAAUUACUGGGCGUAAAGCGUGCGUAGUCGGUUAUUUAAGUCGGAUGUGAAAUCCCCGGGCUCAACCUGGGAAUUGCAUUCGAUACUGGAUAGCUAGAGUUCGGCAGAGGGAAGCGGAAUUUCUGGUGUAGCGGUGAAAUGCGUAGAUAUCAGAAGGAACAUCAGUGGCGAAAGCGGCUUCCUGGACCAGAACUGACGAUCAGGCACGAAAGCGCGGGGAGCAAACAGG